AACGAUGAAGCCGCUUCGGUGGUGGAUUAGUGGCGAACGGGUGAGUAACACGUGGGCAAUCUGCCCUUCACUCUGGGACAAGCCCUGGAAACGGGGUCUAAUACCGGAUAACACUCUGUCCCGCAUGGGACGGGGUUGAAAGCUCCGGCGGUGAAGGAUGAGCCCGCGGCCUAUCAGCUUGUUGGUGGGGUAAUGGCCUACCAAGGCGACGACGGGUAGCCGGCCUGAGAGGGCGACCGGCCACACUGGGACUGAGACACGGCCCAGACUCCUACGGGAGGCAGCAGUGGGGAAUAUUGCACAAUGGGCGAAAGCCUGAUGCAGCGACGCCGCGUGAGGGAUGACGGCCUUCGGGUUGUAAACCUCUUUCAGCAGGGAAGAAGCGAAAGUGACGGUACCUGCAGAAGAAGCGCCGGCUAACUACGUGCCAGCAGCCGCGGUAAUACGUAGGGCGCAAGCGUUGUCCGGAAUUAUUGGGCGUAAAGAGCUCGUAGGCGGCUUGUCACGUCGGAUGUGAAAGCCCGGGGCUUAACCCCGGGUCUGCAUUCGAUACGGGCUAGCUAGAGUGUGGUAGGGGAGAUCGGAAUUCCUGGUGUAGCGGUGAAAUGCGCAGAUAUCAGGAGGAACACCGGUGGCGAAGGCGGAUCUCUGGGCCAUUACUGACGCUGAGGAGCGAAAGCGUGGGGAGCGAACAGGAUUAGAUACCCUGGUAGUCCACGCCGUAAACGUUGGGAACUAGGUGUUGGCGACAUUCCACGUCGUCGGUGCCGCAGCUAACGCAUUAAGUUCCCCGCCUGGGGAGUACGGCCGCAAGGCUAAAACUCAAAGGAAUUGACGGGG
Molecule: ribosomal RNA, 840 nt
Filed under: Streptomyces sp. XJ 11072
Lineage: Bacteria; Bacillati; Actinomycetota; Actinomycetes; Kitasatosporales; Streptomycetaceae
Description: bacterial SSU rRNA
Rfam family: Bacterial small subunit ribosomal RNA
Source: RNAcentral